Molecule: unclassified non-coding RNA, 384 nt
Filed under: Hevea brasiliensis (rubber tree)
Lineage: Eukaryota; Viridiplantae; Streptophyta; Magnoliopsida; Malpighiales; Euphorbiaceae
Source: RNAcentral
GAGAGAGCCUAAUCUCUCUCUCUUUAUGUUUUAGAGAUCUCGUUAAUGUUUUUUCUUCAUCAUUGUUGAAUUUUUUGCAACUUUAUAGAGAGAAUAUGUAAGGAUUUUGCUUCUGUUCUUUCUUGUAAAGGAAGUUCCAGGGCUGUUGAUCGUGCUAUAUUUCAAGAUCAUCGCCUUUCUGUAAUCUGUAUUGUAAUUUUCUCUUGUUUAUGUGGGUUUUUGUUGUUUUUGAUGUAUAAAGUGAUAAGUUAUGGAGGCAAUUUUUGCACCGUCCUCUUCUGCUGAUCAAUCAGUCUCUUCUCGCAAACAAAUCAGAAACCAAUCAAAGAAAAACACUAGAGGUCUCGUAUCAAGAUCCAGUGAAAACUUGGCUCCCACAAACAA